GACGAACGCUGGCGGCGUGCUUAACACAUGCAAGUCGAGCGGUAAGGCCUUUCGGGGUACACGAGCGGCGAACGGGUGCGUAACACGUGGGUGAUCUGCCCUGCACUUCGGGAUAAGCCUGGGAAACUGGGUCUAAUACCGGAUAUGACCUCCUAUCGCAUGGUGGGUGGUGGAAAGAUUUAUCGGUGCAGGAUGGGCCCGCGGCCUAUUAGCUUGUUGGUGGGGUAAUGGCCUACCAAGGCGACGACGGGUAGCCGACCUGAGAGGGUGACCGGCCACACUGGGACUGAGACACGGCCAAGACUCCUACGGGAGGAAGCAGUGGGGAAUAUUGCACAAUGGGCGAAAGCCUGAUGCAGCGACGCCGCGUGAGGGAUGACGGCCUUCGGGUUGUAAACCUCUUUCAGCAGGGACGAAGCGCAAGUGACGGUACCUGCAGAAGAGGCACCGGCUAACUACGUG
Molecule: ribosomal RNA, 462 nt
Filed under: uncultured bacterium
Lineage: Bacteria
Description: partial 16S ribosomal RNA
Rfam family: Bacterial small subunit ribosomal RNA
Source: RNAcentral